CCCUGGCGGCGUGCCUAAUACAUGCAAGUCGAGCGAACGGACGAGAAGCUUGCUUCUCUGAUGUUAGCGGCGGACGGGUGAGUAACACGUGGAUAACCUACCUAUAAGACUGGGAUAACUUCGGGAAACCGGAGCUAAUGCCGGAUAAUAUUUUGAACCGCAUGGUUCAAAAGUGAAAGACGGUCUUGCUGUCACUUAUAGAUGGAUCCGCGCUGCAUUAGCUAGUUGGUAAGGUAACGGCUUACCAAGGCAACGAUGCAUAGCCGACCUGAGAGGGUGAUCGGCCACACUGGAACUGAGACACGGUCCCGACUCCUACGGGAGGCAGCAGUAGGGAAUCUUCCGCAAUGGGCGAAAGCCUGACGGAGCAACGCCGCGUGAGUGAUGAAGGUCUUCGGAUCGUAAAACUCUGUUAUUAGGGAAGAACAUAUGUGUAAGUAACUGUGCACAUCUUGACGGUACCUAAUCAGAAAGCCACGGCUAACUACGUGCCAGCAGCCGCGGUAAUACGUAGGUGGCAAGCGUUAUCCGGAAUUAUUGGGCGUAAAGCGCGCGUAGGCGGUUUUCUAAGUCUGAUUGAAAGCCCACGGCUCAACCGUGGAGGGUCAUUGGAAACUGGAAAACUUGAGUGCAGAAGAGGAAAGUGGAAUUCCAUGUGUAGCGGUGAAAUGCGCAGAGAUAUGGAGGAACACCAGUGGCGAAGGCGACUUUCUGGUCUGUAACUGACGCUGAUGUGCGAAAGCGUGGGGAUCAAACAGGAUUAGAUACCCUGGUAAUCCACGCCGUAAACGAUGAGUGCUAAGUGUUAGGGGGUUUCCGCCCCUUAGUGCUGCAGCUAACGCAUUAAGCACUCCGCCUGGGGAGUACGACCGCAAGGUUGAAACUCAAAGGAAUUGACGGGGACCCGCACAAGCGGUGGAGCAUGUGGUUUAAUUCGAAGCAACGCGAAGAACCUUACCAAAUCUUGACAUCCUUUGACACUCUAGAGAUAGAGCCUUCCCCUUCGGGGGACAAAGUGACAGGUGGUGCAUGGUUGUCGUCAGCUCGUGUCGUGAGAUGUUGGGUUAAGUCCCGCAACGAGCGCAACCCUUAAGCUUAGUUGCCAUCAUUAAGUUGGGCACUCUAAGUUGACUGCCGGUGACAAACCGGAGGAAGGUGGGGAUGACGUCAAAUCAUCAUGCCCCUUAUGAUUUGGGCUACACACGUGCUACAAUGGACAAUACAAAGGGCAGCGAAACCGCGAGGUCAAGCAAAUCCCAUAAAGUUGUUCUCAGUUCGGAUUGUAGUCUGCAACUCGACUACAUGAAGCUGGAAUCGCUAUUAAUCGUAGAUCAGCAUGCUACGGUGAAUACGUUCCCGGGUCAU
This 1365-nucleotide ribosomal RNA is filed under the name Staphylococcus aureus. RNAcentral describes it as "bacterial SSU rRNA". It matches the Rfam family "Bacterial small subunit ribosomal RNA", at positions 34 to 1382 of the family's 1533-position model. Lineage: Bacteria; Bacillati; Bacillota; Bacilli; Caryophanales; Staphylococcaceae. The record is from RNAcentral.